UCAGGCCUAACACAUGCAAGUCAAACGACAAAUUUUUUUGUAGUGGCGGACGGGUGAGUAACACGUAAGAACCUGCCUUUAGGAGGGGGAUACCAUCUGGGAAACUGGUGCUAAUACCCCAUAUGCUGAGAAGUGAAAAGGUAUUUAACCGCCUAGAGAGGGGCUUGCGGCUGAUUAGCUAGUUGGUAGGGUAAUGGCCUCCCAAGGCGACGAUCAGUAGCUGGUUUGAGAGGAUGAUCAGCCACACUGGGACUGAGACACGGCCCAGACUCCUACGGGAGGCAGCAGUGAGGAAUUUUCCGCAAAGGGCGAAAGCCUGACGGAGCAAUACCGC
This 334-nucleotide ribosomal RNA is filed under the name uncultured bacterium. RNAcentral's name for it is "bacterial SSU rRNA". It matches the Rfam family "Bacterial small subunit ribosomal RNA", at positions 44 to 395 of the family's 1533-position model. The record is from RNAcentral.